This 279-nucleotide ribosomal RNA is filed under the name uncultured bacterium. Its description in RNAcentral is "partial 16S ribosomal RNA". It matches the Rfam family "Bacterial small subunit ribosomal RNA", at positions 506 to 784 of the family's 1533-position model. The record is from RNAcentral.
UGCCAGCAGCCGCGGUAAGACGGAGGUGGCAAACGCUGUUCGGAAUUAUUGGGCGUAAAGGGCGCGUAGGCGGCCUUGUCGGUCAGAUGUGAAAGCCCGGGGCUCAACCCUGGAAGUGCAUUUGAAACAGCAAGGCUUGAGUACUGGAGAGGAGAGCGGAAUUCCUGGUGUAGAGGUGAAAUUCGUAGAUAUCAGGAGGAACACCGAUGGCGAAGGCAUCUCUCUGGGCCGAUAUUGACGCUGAGGCGCGAAGGCGUGGGUAGCGAACGGGAUUAGAUA